UUGCAGCUUUCUCUGUCUUUCUUAAAUCAAAUCAAAAUCCAUUUUAUUCUCUUUAUAAGUACGUUGCUAGUUGUUGUUAAAUAUGUCGCCAACUAUCGUUAAGUCCAUUGCCAGCUCUCCCUACCUAAUUUUCUGGAUCUCUCAUCCAAUAACUGCCAUGUCGAAUUCUUGAUUGGGGAUAGCUUCUACGUAAUGGCGAUAGCUGAAGAAAUCAAUUUUGGAAGAAUCUAAUGGUAAAUCAAAACCCAUUUCUUAGGGUGAAUUUGGUGAGAGAAUGAAAUUGGAAAUCGAUUGAAGAAGAAGCUCGUUAAGGAAGGUAAAGGUUUGGAUACCCCUAAAUCUGGUAAUGAAUUUUAUUGAAGGUAAUUGAUUUGCAUAUUUUUUUUUAUUAUUAUUUAAACUGCCAAUAAAUCUGAGCUUUGUUUAUGUUUAUUUGGUUUUUUGCUCGUAAUGGUAUCUCAAAAAUAUGCUUUGAGGAAAAAUUUUGCUGUUCUCUUCCUUGUGUCUCUGUUCAUGUUUGUACAUGAGUGAAGUUUGUCAUUUUACCAAAACAAGGAUAUGCCUGCUUGAGAGGUAUAUCACCAAAGUAGAGUAUUGUUCACAGUUUCUCUGCAUUCUUUAAAGUUGGUUGUUUAGACUUGUGAAUUUGAUCAAUCUUUCCAAUUUUAUUCUUUUUCCUAUGGUAUGUGAAUAUUUGAAAAAAAUGUUUGACUGAUCUGUAUCCUAUAGUCCAAAUGGUAUAAAACAAAGUGCUGCCCAGAUUUCAUUGCAUAUAUAGUAGUAUUCCUGAUUAUCGUUCAUUGUAUAAGUUACUAGUUUCAUAUAAUGAUGUGAACAAAAUAAGUUAGGUUAAAGAGGAACAAGACAAAUCAAUUUCUUUCUAUAAUGGUACUGAUUGUGGAUUUUAUAGUGGCUUAAUUGUAUCAAUCUAUUUUGUUAGAUUUCGGGUCUUUACGAAUGUCGUUAUAUAAGUUACUAAUAUCGUUAUGUCUUUAUGAAUCAAUAUGGUACAGAGGUGAAACUUUGUUUCCUUAAAGUCUGACUAAUUUCCAAAGGAUACAAUUGGAUAUAAGGUCUAAGUACAAUCAUAUUUUUCUCUGGUGGCUAAUGUGUCUUUAUUUGUAUCCUUAUCUCUGUGGUAGUAAUAUUUCGAUGGUCCUUUUGUCAAUUAGUAAAAAGAUGUUUAUAAAUUUUGAGGAAGUUAAAUUAAGUACUCAAUGUCGAAUAUGCCAAUCUAUUUAUAGCCUCAAUCUCCAAGGGCAUGGUUUGGCUGUUCUAGCUCAUAUUUCAAAAUGAAGCAAAUCAUUAAGUUUUCUACAACAUUCUUCUUUCUUUCUUUCUUUCUUUCUUUUGAUAAUUGAAAAAUCUUCAAGGGACAUUAUGCACAGUUCGAAACUCAGUGGUUAAUGGGCCCGCCACUUUAUCCUUCUCCAAUUAAAUACCAAGAUUUUCUUUAUGGUAGGGUUCAAACUCGUGACGUGAACCUAUUCCACACAUGACAAAUUAUUCUCUUGCCACUAGAUCAAAGCUCAAAAUUUCCUAGUUGCUUAUGUUCAUGGAACUAUCAUUACAUGUGAUGAUCAUAAAGGGUUGAUCAAUUAAUAGCACCCUGUCAUUUUUAAAGCAACUAAAUACCUCUUAGCAUUAAAGGCGACAAAAUCUAGUAGUGGUACUUUCAUUACAGAAAAAAUAUACUGGAGAUUGCUAAAAGAAUUCUGGUAUGUUGGAACUGGACUUGUUCACCCUUCUAUAUAAUGAAUCUUUUUAAAUGUCCUAGGACUAUAUAGGAGACUUUUUCACAGAAUCAACAUUCUAAAAAUCACACAACCUUAUAUCAUUCAUUGUUAGCAUGGUAAUCCAGAUUUUGCAAGCUUCUUGUAAUAGCUGUUGGGAUGUUUCAACGUGCAUUCUUAGGUGUAUCAAUUGCCAUGAUAAGAGUUUUUUAAAAGAUAGAUGAAAUGUAUCAAUUUUUUGGGUAUUUCACUGUAGGCUAGCAGAAACUCCCUUGGAUAGACAAUCCAUCUUAUGAGUCUCUUUAGAAAAGUAAAAAACAAAGAUGUGAUGACCAAACCAAGUGUGAACCUAGAGUAUCGAGCCGUGGCCUUAACACGUGAGCAAAUAUGAAAAAUUAUUUCUUCAAAAGCUAAAAUCUAAUGAUAAACUAAUACAAUUAACCCACUAUAAAAUCCACGUUUCAUCAAUGAAAGAGAAAUAAAUUGCUAACAAAAUCUAUUUGGGUUAAAAUCCUCAUUUUUGGAAGUUGUAUCCCCUCCCCAAAUUAUAUUUGAUUUUAUUCCACAGGUCCUUGGUUUUUAUGUGCCUAGCUGAUACUAGAGACAUACAUGUACUGCCUAUUUACUAGCAUCUGAGGAUGUAAUAUGCUAUUGUGGUAGCCCCUACGAUGGAUAGUUUCUUGGAAUAGAACCUUUCCAUUGACUGGUAUAGGGUUUUAUUAAGACUGGGAUGUAGCAUGAUAUAUUGACUAAGUUUUUGAAGAUGAAACUUCAAACUUUUCUUAGUUUUGAGUAGUGGAUUCUUUCAAGUUUAUUUUAGACUGUUAGGAGAGCUUACACGAUAUGGUUAUUAUUGAGUAGCAUAGUGUAGAAUUGGUAACUUUCCAACUGCAGUAAGGUGGUAAGCACGGGUGGAGGGCUAAUAUGAAAUUUCAAUCGCCAACUUUACAUUGGUUGACUUGGACUUAGUUCCAUACUUUGUUCUCAAUCCUAUAUGCAGUUUUCAGAUAGUUACUUGGCCAUGGUCGUGAUGAAGGAUUGCCCAAAGUUAUCCUUGGAAUUGCUGAUGAGCUCGAUGAACAAAAGAGGUCAUGUUAGAUCGCCACAUGUCUUGUACUUGAAGAUGAUUACUUGGAUAUGGUUGUGAUGAAGGAUAGCCCAAAGUUAUCCUUGGCAAUGCUAAUGAACUCGAUGAACAAAAAAGGUCAUAUUAUCACCACACGUCUUGUAAUUGAAGGUAGAUUUAUUGUCUUAGCCUUUUAAGUCGGAUCUAAUAUGCAAGUUCUAGUCUCACUUUUAGAAAAAAAAAUAUUUUGGAACAAUUCUUGAAAAGCAUUUUGUUGUUGCUUGGUAUAAUAAGACCUAAAUUUUCCUGUUAAUCAUUUUGAAAGUUUCUAAAAUUCAAUGUUUCUUUGUCUCCCUGCUUGUCUAGCAGUGCAAUCGGACUCUAGUGCAGUUCCUCGACCAAAUAGGUUUUGGUUUUGUGGUAGCUCAAUUGCACAUUGGCAUCCCUUUGCCUGAACAAUCAGCAAUACAAUAGUUUAAUCCCCUAACGUUAACCCCAUGCUUCUUCAUAUUUAAUGUGUUAAAAUUAGAAAUAAGUUCUUACGUAAUAAGUCAAACUUUUGAAAUUAGAGACUAGUUGCAUGAAUUUAAUAGGAUUUAACCCAAGGCUCCUCAUUUAUUGAAAACAACAACAAGUAAAGGCUUUUGAUUUAGAGCCUGGUCGACGAGCAGAUGAUCCCAACAAGGAAGGGAUUAUUGAUGUAGACAAGGAGGUCCUUGCUGGAGGUAAAGGAACUUACAAGUGUGAUCAGAAUACAUUGAUGGCCUAUGACAAACUCCAUAUUAGAGUAGAUCAAGUGUUGGGUACUAUAUUUUUGCCUAUCAGCUCUUAACAUUUAUGAGGUUCGAUGUAUUUACAUACAUAAAGAGAAACUAAUCCUGAUUGGUGGAUUCUGUUUAGAUUAAUGUUAGAUUAUUACUGAAUGAUUUUUGUUUUGUGAUGUGUAUAUAUUGUGUUAUAGUUUAUUAUGUAUGUAAAUAAAUUUUUACAUUAAUACGAGUGACUAUUUAUAUAAA
Long non-coding RNA from Capsicum annuum, 3815 nucleotides. RefSeq lists it as uncharacterized. Lineage: Eukaryota; Viridiplantae; Streptophyta; Magnoliopsida; Solanales; Solanaceae. The transcript has 4 exons. The record is from RefSeq and is a predicted model, not a curated record.